GGGAACUACGAGCAUAAGCUUAAAACCCAAAGGACUUGGCGGUGCUUUAGACCCCCCUAGAGGAGCCUGUUCUAGAACCGAUAACCCCCGUUCGACCUCACCUUUUCUUGUUCAUCCCGUCUAUAUACCGCCGUCGUCAGCAUACCCUGUGAAGGAAACAUAGUAGGCAAAACUGGUAAAACCCAAAACGCCAGGUCGAGGUGUAGCAUACGAAAAGGAAAGAAAUGGGCUACAUUUCCUCUUACAGGAAAUACGAAUUGUGUCAUGAAACAACACAUGAAGGAGGAUUUAGCAGUAAGCAAAAAC
This is a ribosomal RNA of 306 nucleotides. It matches the Rfam family "Bacterial small subunit ribosomal RNA", at positions 875 to 1349 of the family's 1533-position model.